AGAACGAACGCUGGCGGCAUGCCUAAUACAUGCAAGUCGAACGAACACUUCGGUGUUAGUGGCGCACGGGUGCGUAACGCGUGGGAAUCUGCCCUUGGGUUCGGAAUAACAGUUGGAAACGACUGCUAACACCGGAUGAUGACGAAAGUCCAAAGAUUUAUCGCCCAGGGAUGAGCCCGCGUAGGAUUAGCUAGUUGGUGAGGUAAUGGCUCACCAAGGCGACGAUCCGUUAA
Molecule: ribosomal RNA, 233 nt
Filed under: uncultured soil bacterium
Lineage: Bacteria
Description: partial 16S ribosomal RNA
Rfam family: Bacterial small subunit ribosomal RNA
Source: RNAcentral